GUGCUUGCUGACAGGAGCCUGAUAUAGCUGUCUCCUAAGAGAUUCUGCCAGAGCUGGACCAAUACAGAUAGGAUGCUCACAGCCUGAGUACCAGGACCCCAAUGGAGAAGUUAGGUUUGGGAUUGGUUGAAUCCAUGGAUGUGGGAACAGCAGACGUGGAAGUCUGAAAAGAUAACCUCCAGCAUAUGAAAACCAGCCAACAACUUCAUUUCCCUCUGACCUGGAACCAAAGUGUGUGUGGCAUCUUCAACAGGAUAAUCUUCCUGUCUAAUUCUAAGGAGCAACCAAAAGCUGUGGCUGGAGCUUUGAUUGUUUGUUGGCCUCUGAGAAUCCUAACCAAGGAUGGACAAGAAUAAAUUUUGAGAUCUUCUUCUGCUACUUAGAUGUCAGUCUUAAAUGUCACCUUGAGAAUCAGAGGGAAAAGGCUUUUUGCUUUUGUUCAUUUAUUUUUGAGAUCAGAUAAGACACCAGAAAGAAAAACGGCACAUAUCUUCUAAAGAACCUCAGCCAAGCAAUGGUGCUUUUUACAACGGGCAAGUCUUUCCACCUCAGUUAAAACAACCAAGACCAUCCCCACAGGACGGGCAGAGAACCAUCUCUCACAUCGUGCUCAACUCUGUCAGAGUAGCGGAGGACACGCUCAUAUUACUAGCUGGAUGAGGCAGAAUUUCAAUAAAAAAAGAUUGUCUGUUCUGACAACUUUCACAUUUCAAUAUCAUUUGAAUACAAGGAACAUAGAGGACACUGCACAAUGUGAGCAACCCAGACUCUAAGAAUCCUCUAAGUCUGAUGUUACUCCUCAGAUCCUUGGGAAGCUGGCUCAAAGAUCACCUCAGGGAGAGAAUGUUGCUGACUCAUAUAGAAAAGCCUCCUUUAAAGAAUGCCCUUAAUAAAAUAUAAGCCAACACGUCAAGGCAAUGAGUAAUAGUGGAUUUUCUUCCUGAAAACACAUUAUUUCUGGAGUGCAUCUACAUUUAUAAUAUCAUGUCUCAUUGGUAUAUAGAGUUCCUUGCGAAAUACAAGAAGAUGCACAGGUGUAAGAGCUGAGAUUUAUGUGCAGCUUAUGGUAUGGUCUGAUGCACAGUGCCUUCGGGAAAGGGGCUGCUCUUAUAUCUUCUAAUUUCAGCAUUAAGUUUAUUUCAUAAAGCAUCUUGAAUAAUCCUACAAUUCAGAAGAAAAUAAACAUGCCCUUUGAGGAAA
Molecule: long non-coding RNA, 1200 nt
Organism: Mastomys coucha (southern multimammate mouse)
Lineage: Eukaryota; Metazoa; Chordata; Mammalia; Rodentia; Muridae
Exons: 7
Source: RefSeq, a predicted model, not a curated record